GUUUUCCGCUGUUUUUUGGAGUUUUUCGUUUUUACAAUGUUUUUUUAAUAGAAAUUCGUUUCUCUUUUACAUUUGAGAACAAAUUUGGGACUGUCCAGUUGAAUAAAGAUCUCUAAUAAUUGAAAAAUGUAUUGGUAUAUUGAUGUUAACUUUAGCUAACAUGAAAAUCCAAAAUGUUGUUUUUCAACCAUCAAUGCGUAUCUCAACAAAUACACAUUGAUAAAGUUUGCUGAUUUUCUUUGGACUUCUCACAUUUCCAAUUUUCACAGCCAUAAGACUUAAUCCAUAUUUAUUUUUAAUACCAACACGGAAUUUUAAGUGUCUCCUUUACUCAUUUCUCAACUGGUGUUCUGAGGCUUGAAAAGGGACGUUUGUUGCCAAUUUUGUCAAAAUAUGAGGUUUUUCUUACUUUAUUCAAAUGACCUUUCCUUCUGGAGACUUUUUCAUACAUUAUCGAAGUUCGAAAGUAAAGAAAAAGAUGUACUUUGAUUUUAAAAGUUCUGUGCACGAAUGUGGGAGAAAUGCAAAGAGCGACCGCGAAGUGCGAGAACCAACAGUCGCGAGCCUAGGGUGCGCUCAAACUCUCAAACGAAGCUCUUUUAACAAAAGAAAAGUCACAAUCACAAAAUUGCAGUGGUGGAUGUUUUGAAUUUUAAUUGUAAAGGUCUGCGCACGAAUGUGGAAAAGAUUCGACUUGUAACACCUGGCAUAAUAACCCGUGUAUUUCUGAAAAAGGAUUCGUCCCUCGAUCUCUCUAGUAUCCUAAUGGAAAAGCAUUAGACCCACAGUCGGAGGUUCUAUGUUUCGAUUCCCAGCGGAGUUAAAGAAAUGGUGCUGUUAGAUAAAAUCCAUAAUUGUCGGACGACGCGUGAUGUCGCACAUGUACAACUAAUCCUGGAGUUCCAGCCCGUAAACGACCCAGAAGCCACAUUAGGGUUUCGUCGCUGGCUCCACUCGGGAACAUCAUCACGACGUCGCAUUCCUGAAAAUGCCAAAGAUAAUUCGCAGUUUGAAAAUGGCUUUCUCUCACCAAAUUUCAAACAAAAUUGAAAGAAUUUUCCUAUUUUUUGUUUAGAAUUUAAUCUAAUGAUACUCAUUUACCUUUAAUUAACCUCAUACAUGUUUAAAUUUCGGCAUAAAUAAUUAUGUUUGUAGGAAUAGAAG
Molecule: long non-coding RNA, 1164 nt
Organism: Belonocnema kinseyi
Lineage: Eukaryota; Metazoa; Arthropoda; Insecta; Hymenoptera; Cynipidae
Exons: 4
Source: RefSeq, a predicted model, not a curated record